GUGAGUGGAUAAAUGGACAAACUCAUUCAGGGUUUAGCUUUUCUUGUUCUGGAUCUCACUACUCACUAGUAAUGUGGGGUUUGGUAACCGUCUCGGGCACGAGAAUAGGAGAUGUAAUAGAACUGAGAGACAAUAGCAGUGAAGAGAGCAAAGGAAGCACCAGCAGCAAACACUCCUUUACGGAUCACUUCACAGCUAG
Arabidopsis thaliana (thale cress) is the source of this 199-nucleotide non-coding RNA. RefSeq annotates it as other RNA. The record is from RefSeq. The transcript has a single exon. Lineage: Eukaryota; Viridiplantae; Streptophyta; Magnoliopsida; Brassicales; Brassicaceae.